RNAcentral lists this unclassified non-coding RNA (227 nucleotides) under plant metagenome. RNAcentral describes it as "partial contains small subunit ribosomal RNA, internal transcribed spacer 1, and 5.8S ribosomal RNA". The record is from RNAcentral.
UCUCCGUUGGUGAACCAGCGGAGGGAUCAUUACAGAGUUGCAAAACUCCCAAACCAUUGUGAACGUUACCUAUCCCGUUGCUUCGGCGGGCGGCCCGGGCGCCCCUAGCGGCCCGGAACCAGGCGCCCGCCGGAGGACCCAAACUCUUGCUUUGAACAGUGGCAUACUCUCUGAGUCUCAAAAACAAAAAUAAAUUAAAACUUUCAACAACGGAUCUCUUGGCUCUG